GCUUGUCCUCACAAACACAGCCUUUGGUACCUCAGUUAAUUUAUUGGAUUAACAAAUAACAAACAUAAACAUAAAGCCAUAACACAACAAAAACAAAACAAAAUUCCCAGUACUCCACACAGAAAAGACAGCUCUCAGCCGUCUGGAUCGUUUUUCUUUCCACUUUAAUAUUCAAACCGCACUCAUACUCAUAUGAUCACUGCCAUGCCUCCUUCGUUCACUCGCAUUUCUUCGAACAGGUAGUCGUCACCUCAGUAACGCUCUCACAGUCUUUCUUCUUCUCCCAUGGCUUCUUCUUCUGCUUCUCUGCUCUCUCAGGCCUCGCUCGCCCACAAUUCGGGCCUGUCUAGGCGCCCGGCAGCUUUCUUCGGGGCUCGGAGGUCGUUGACUCCACUGCCGCUGGGGUUGGAGGUGCCGGCGGAGAAGAGGGCUCUGCUGCGGAAGCGGGGAGUUCCGGUGGCCAGCGCUGAGGUAGUAGUGGACGAUCGACUUGUUGAAAAGAGGGGAGAGAAAGGUACGCUUCUGAGAGUUGGACUGAUCUGUGGAGGUCCGUCUGCCGAGCGUGGAAUCUCUCUCAAUUCUGCAAGAUCAGUCCUUGAUCAUAUACAGGGGGACGAUUUGCAUGUUAGCUGCUACUACAUUGAUUGCAAUCUCAAGGCCUACGCAAUAUCCCCUGCUCAGGUAUACUCAAAUACUCCUGCAGAUUUUGAUUUUAAACUCGAAAGCCUUGCCCAAGGAUUCGAGUCAUUGUCUGACUUUGCAGACCACCUUGCUGGCUCUGUGGACAUAGUUUUUCCUGUUAUACAUGGUCGUUUUGGUGAAGAUGGUGGCAUUCAGGAGCUGUUGGAAAAAUCAAAUAUACCAUUCGUUGGCACGGGUUCGGCUGAAUGUUGUAAAGCAUUUGACAAGUAUGAUGCAUCCUUGAUGCUGAACAGACAUGGAUUUGUUACGGUGCCUAAUUUCUUAGUGCAGGGAAAUGAGAAGGAUGAAUCAGAUUUGUCAGAGUGGUUUGUGAGAAAUCAACUGGAUACUAACCUUGGCAAAGUAGUGGUAAAACCAACAAAAGCAGGUUCAAGCAUUGGAGUAACAGUAGCUUAUGGUGUUACUGAUUCGCUUAAGAAAGCUAAUCAAAUAAUUUCAGAGGGAAUUGAUGACAAAGUCCUUGUUGAAAUUUUUCUUAACGGAGGGAGUGAAUUUACUGCAAUUGUUCUUGAUGUGGGUUCCGGUUUCAGUUGCCAACCUGUUGUACUGCUUCCAACAGAGGUAGAACUUCGGUUCCAUGGCAGUACUGAUCUAAGUGAAAAGGAUGCAAUAUUCAAUUACCGAAGGAAGUAUCUUCCCACUCAGCAGGUUGCAUACCACACUCCUCCUCGUUUUCCUCUAGAUGUGAUUCAAAACAUUCGUGAGGGAGCAUCUCUAUUGUUUGAACAGCUUGGCCUACAUGAUUUUGCUAGGAUUGAUGGCUGGUUUUUGCCACCAACUACCUGUGUUUCAUCUUCUUUGGACCCUAAAUUUGGAAAAACUCAAUCGGGUACAAUAAUAUUUACAGACAUCAACCUGAUUAGUGGGAUGGAGCAAACGAGCUUCUUAUUUCAGCAAGCUUCAAAGGUCGGAUUUUCUCAUUCGAACAUUCUCAGAACCAUCAUCCGACAUGCUUGUUUGAGAUUUCCUGGUCUGGCUUCAUACAGUAUCACCUCUAGUCACAGAAGUAGAAGAUCACAGGUCACUAAAUUGUUCCACAGACAGCAAGAUGCUCACAAAGUUUUUGUCAUUUUUGGUGGAGACACUUCUGAACGACAAGUAUCUCUUAUGAGUGGAACAAAUGUUUGGCUCAAUUUGCAAGCUUUCAAUGAUCUUGAAGUAACACCGUGUCUGCUUGCCCCAACACAAGGUUAUUCAUCCAAGGAAGUAUCUGAAAAUGAGGAAAUGGAUGUGAGCUCAAGAGCAGUUUGGUCAUUACCAUACUCUCUUGUGCUGAGACAUACAACAGAAGAAGUGCUUGAUGCAUGCAUAGAGGCUAUUGAACCAACUCGAGCAGCAUUGACAUCUCAGUUACGGAACCAAGUGAUGAAUGAACUCAUGGAAGGUUUGGAACAGCAUAGUUGGUUCACUGGGUUUGAUAUAUCUGAUGAACCACCAGUAAAGUUGGCACUUGAGCAGUGGAUCAAACUAGCUAAGGAAGUUCAGGCAACUGUUUUCAUUGCAGUGCAUGGAGGCAUUGGUGAAGAUGGUACACUUCAGUCAUUGCUAGAGGCCGAGGGAGUUCCUCAUACAGGUCCUGGUGUAAUUGCUUCAAAGACUUGCAUGGACAAAGUUGCAACAUCUCUUUCUCUUAACCAUCUUGCAGAUCUGGGAGUUCUUACCAUCAACAAGGAUGUACGAAGAAAAGAGGACCUGCUGAAUACACCUAUUGUUGAUAAUUGGAAAGAGCUGACCUCAAACCUUAAGUGUGAAACAUUAUGUGUUAAACCAGCAAGAGAUGGAUGCUCUACUGGAGUGGCAAGAUUAUGCUGUUCAGAGGACCUUGCAGUGUAUGUAAAAGCAUUGAAGGAUUGCCUUCGAAGAAUUCCACCAAAUAAUUUGUCAAGGUCACAUGGAGUGAUUGAGAUGCCAAAUCCUCCACCAGAGCAUUUAAUUUUUGAACCUUUUAUUGAGACUGAUGAGAUAAUUGUCUCGUCAAAAUCCUCAAGUGAUGGUGCACGUCGCCUAUUGUGGAAAGGGCAUAGUAGAUGGGUAGAAGUAACUGUUGGUGCACUAGGACUGCGUGGAUCAAUGUACUCGUUAACUCCUAGUGUUACUGUCAAAGAAACUGGUGAUAUUUUGUCACUUGAGGAAAAAUUCCAAGGUGGAACUGGCAUCAAUUUGACUCCGCCCCCAUUAUCAAUUGUUAGUAAUGAUGCAUUGGCAAAAUGUAAACAACGUAUUGAACUCAUAGCAAACACUCUGCAAUUGGAAGGAUUCUCACGCAUUGAUGCUUUUGUUAAUGUCGACAGUGGCGAGGUUGUGAUCAUAGAGGUUAAUACGGUGCCUGGAAUGACGCCAUCUACGGUUUUGAUUCAUCAGGCACUGGCCGAGCAACCUCCCGUUUAUCCUCGCGAUUUCUUCCGGAAACUGCUUGAUUUGGCAUCAGAGAGAGGACCGGCAGUGCUGGCGUAAAUUAAAUUUAAUUCUCUUGCUUGUUACGAAGCAGUUUGCUUCCUUAUAUUAAAUUGCCAAUCGUUUUGGAUUUUCUCGAUCGCGUAAAGUUCAAUUCCCAAGCUUUUCUUUCUUGGCAACUUUUAUCUAAAUAAAUGCAACUCUUCAAUCAUGGGGUGGUGGUUGCAGCUUCUACGCUGCGCAUGGCCUUAAAAAUGCAAUGAUUUCGUCGAUACUAGAGUGAUGAUGGUUUUUGGGACCGACCACCACGUGCCACCUCUGCGACUGGACCUCGGGAAUGGAAUCUCGGACUUGGGGAUGUCGGACCUCGGGUGUAGAACCUGCAAGACAAUGGAGGGCAGGGGCUUGGAUCUCCCGGGGUGGACUCCGACGCUCAAAUCAGUAGAGUAAAUGUAAGUAGUAGUAAAUGAGAGAGCUGUAGAGCUUGAAUAUACCUGGCGAGAGUCCUUGUCUUUUAUAGGCGAACCCGUUUUGGGUACCCGAAAUGAGCAGGCACGACUUUCGAGAAUCUUGGUCAAAUUGAAACGGGUCUUGCGGUUCGACCCGGAUUUCCUGGGCUCCGCUCAGGAGUAUUGACUUGCCACGUGUCGGUCUCUCCGGUGAUCCACGUGGCAGGUGAGAUUGAGACUAUUAGCGCGUAUGGGUAUUCUAAUAAUUUUAGAUAAUGCCAUAUCAUAGAGUGAGUUUGUUUGGCUGCAAAAAUAUUCUUUGGAAAAUGAUCUCUUUAUGUUUUGGUAAUGGGAGGCUUUGGGUAGGAAUUAUCCUCUCUCCGCCUAUGUAUUGUAUUGUAUCCCAAUUCGCAUCUUUAUUGUUA
RNA transcript from Diospyros lotus (date-plum), 3970 nucleotides. RefSeq lists it as uncharacterized. The transcript has 25 exons. Lineage: Eukaryota; Viridiplantae; Streptophyta; Magnoliopsida; Ericales; Ebenaceae. The record is from RefSeq and is a predicted model, not a curated record.